GAGCUGAAGAGCUUGGAGUCUAAUGUUUGU
RNAcentral lists this non-coding RNA (30 nucleotides) under Homo sapiens (human). Lineage: Eukaryota; Metazoa; Chordata; Mammalia; Primates; Hominidae. The record is from RNAcentral.